RNAcentral lists this ribosomal RNA (253 nucleotides) under Blautia obeum. RNAcentral's name for it is "partial 16S ribosomal RNA". It matches the Rfam family "Bacterial small subunit ribosomal RNA", at positions 524 to 776 of the family's 1533-position model. The record is from RNAcentral. Lineage: Bacteria; Bacillati; Bacillota; Clostridia; Lachnospirales; Lachnospiraceae.
UACGUAGGGGGCAAGCGUUAUCCGGAUUUACUGGGUGUAAAGGGAGCGUAGACGGACUGGCAAGUCUGAUGUGAAAGGCGGGGGCUCAACCCCUGGAGUGCAUUGGAAACUGUUAGUCUUGAGUGCCGGAGAGGUAAGCGGAAUUCCUAGUGUAGCGGUGAAAUGCGUAGAUAUUAGGAGGAACACCAGUGGCGAAGGCGGCUUACUGGACGGUAACUGACGUUGAGGCUCGAAAGCGUGGGGAGCAAACAGG